GGUGGCUCAAUGGUAGAGUACUUGCCUUGCAUGCAGGAGGCCCUGGGUUCAAUUCCUCAGCACCA
RNAcentral lists this transfer RNA (65 nucleotides) under Dipodomys ordii (Ord's kangaroo rat). It matches the Rfam family "tRNA". Rfam says of the family: Transfer RNA (tRNA) molecules are approximately 80 nucleotides in length. Their secondary structure includes four short double-helical elements and three loops (D, anti-codon, and T loops). Further hydrogen bonds mediate the characteristic L-shaped molecular structure. tRNAs have two regions of fundamental functional importance: the anti-codon, which is responsible for specific mRNA codon recognition, and the 3' end, to which the tRNAs corresponding amino acid is attached (by aminoacyl-tRNA synthetases). tRNAs cope with the degeneracy of the genetic code in two manners: having more than one tRNA (with a specific anti-codon) for a particular amino acid; and 'wobble' base-pairing, i.e. permitting non-standard base-pairing at the 3rd anti-codon position. The record is from Rfam by way of RNAcentral. Lineage: Eukaryota; Metazoa; Chordata; Mammalia; Rodentia; Heteromyidae.